UGGCGGCCUUAGCGCGGUGGUCCCACCUGACCCCAUGCCGAACUCAGAAGUGAAACGCCGUAGCGCCGAUGGUAGU
Molecule: ribosomal RNA, 76 nt
Filed under: Escherichia coli H299
Lineage: Bacteria; Pseudomonadati; Pseudomonadota; Gammaproteobacteria; Enterobacterales; Enterobacteriaceae
Source: RNAcentral